Long non-coding RNA from Ailuropoda melanoleuca (giant panda), 501 nucleotides. RefSeq lists it as uncharacterized. The transcript is spliced from 3 exons. Lineage: Eukaryota; Metazoa; Chordata; Mammalia; Carnivora; Ursidae. The record is from RefSeq and is a predicted model, not a curated record.
GAAGCUCUGGAGACCCCACUGCUUCCAGGAAAGGGGUGCCCCCCACCAUCUUGAGAAAAUGAAGCUCUUUCACUGGGGUUCAAGGUGUGAACAUGCAUUUCCAGGCUGCCUCUGAUCUCCAGCCCCACUGGACCCCUGAGCUUUAAAGGCUUUAAAGGGGGCUGUCCCGGGUGUGUGCUGUGGGGCAGACAAGUGCUUGGCAUUUUGCUUAUAGGAACUUGCUUAAUCUUCAUAGCGAACCCAAAGAGCUCGUCCACGGGCAGCCAGGACCUGGAUGUGGGCUACUGCAAAGCUUCCACGUAGAAACAAAUCAACAGACCAACCAACCAGCUGGCUCUGGACCUGUGAUGUGCAGUAAUAAGCAUGUGAAACCAAAGAGCUUUCCGAACCCUUUACUGCGCCUACUCUCAGACCAGGCUACGGAUGGAUGAUUACCACCAAGAAGAAUCCCCAGUGGGUACUUUAGGUUAGAGUUGCCAGAUUAAAUACUUAGGACACACU